CCUACGGGGGGCAGCAGUGAGGAAUAUUGGUCAAUGGACGAGAGUCUGAACCAGCCAAGUAGCGUGAAGGAUGACUGCCCUAUGGGUUGUAAACUUCUUUUAUAUGGGAAUAAAAUGUUCCACGUGUGGGAUUUUGUAUGUACCAUAUGAAUAAGGAUCGGCUAACUCCGUGCCAGCAGCCGCGGUAAUACGGAGGAUCCGAGAGUUAUCCGGAUUUAUUGGGUUUAAAGGGAGCGUAGGUGGAUUGUUAAGUCAGUUGUGAAAGUUUGCGGCUCAACCGUAAAAUUGCAGUUGAAACUGGCAGUCUUGAGUACAGUAGAGGUGGGCGGAAGUCGUGGUGUAGCGGUGAAAUGCUUAGAUAUCACGAAGAACUCCGAUUGCGAAGGCAGUUCACUGGACUGCAACUGACACUGAGGCUCGAAAGUGUGGGUAUCAAACAGGAUUAGAUACCCGAGUAGUC
This 460-nucleotide ribosomal RNA is filed under the name uncultured bacterium. Its description in RNAcentral is "partial 16S ribosomal RNA". It matches the Rfam family "Bacterial small subunit ribosomal RNA", at positions 338 to 795 of the family's 1533-position model. The record is from RNAcentral.